This 644-nucleotide ribosomal RNA is filed under the name Cora sp. Spielmann 10126. RNAcentral's name for it is "eukaryotic LSU rRNA". The record is from RNAcentral. Lineage: Eukaryota; Fungi; Basidiomycota; Agaricomycetes; Agaricales; Hygrophoraceae.
CCUGCGGAAGGAUCAUUAACGAACUCUCGAAGGACGCGCUCGCUGCUGGGCUUCUCAGAAGUCAACGUGCACACGCUCUUUCCUCUCGUUCAACCMAUCUACCCCUAUCUGUGCACCCCUCGUAGGCUGAGAUCUCUUAGCUUAUGUUCUUUCCACAAACCAUCCUUUAAAUAUAUCAGCGAAUGGGCAGCCGUUCGAGCCUCGUCUCGACGCAGCAARAUAUAACACAACUUUCAACAACGGAUCUCUUGGCUCUCGCAUCGAUGAAGAACGCAGCGAAAUGCGAUAAGUAAUGUGAAUUGCAGAAUUCAGUGAAUCAUCGAAUCUUUGAACGCACCUUGCGCCCCUUGGUACUCCGAGAGGCAUGCCUGUUUGAGUGUCAUUGAACCAUCAAACCCGAGUGGCUUUCGAGCUUUAUCGGAGUUUUGGAGCUUGCGGGUUGUGCGGAAGGAAGGGCUCUUCGGGGGCCCCCUCCUCCGCUCCUCGCGGAAUACAUCAGCAGAUGUCCACUUGCGGGUCCAGCCUUGGCGUGAUAACUGUCUUACGUCYUGGCCUUGGGUCGCGUGUCCCUUGGCUUCUGCUUCGAACAGUCGCACGUUCUYGCGACAGAUGGAUUGACAAAUUUGACCUCAAAUCAGGUAGGA